AUCACGUUCCAAUGCAUGUGAGUAUUCAAAGUUUGGUUGUUUUCCAGAAUUGGCUCUCUUAAAGGUCAAAAC
Molecule: unclassified non-coding RNA, 72 nt
Organism: Fukomys damarensis (Damara mole-rat)
Lineage: Eukaryota; Metazoa; Chordata; Mammalia; Rodentia; Bathyergidae
Source: Ensembl